AAACUGGGUCUAAUACCGAAUAUUCUGCUCUUGUCGCAUGGUGGGGGUUGGAAAGGGUUUCUGGAUGGGGAUGGGCUCACGGCCUAUCAGCUUGUUGGUGGGGUGAUGGCCUACCAAGGCGUCGACGGGUAGCCGGCCUGAGAGGGUGACCGGCCACAUUGGGACUGAGAUACGGCCCAGACUCCUACGGGAGGCAGCAGUGGGGAAUAUUGCACAAUGGACGCAAGUCUGAUGCAGCGACGCCGCGUGGGGGAUGAAGGCUUUCGGGUUGUAAACUCCUUUCAGUACAGAACAAGGCCUUUUGGUUGAGGGUAUGUGCAGAAGAAGCGCCGGCUAACUACGUGCCAGCAGCCGCGGUAAUACGUAGGGCGCGAGCGUUGUCCGGAAUUAUUGGGCGUAAAGAGCUCGUAGGCGGUUUGUUGCGCCUGCUGUGAAAGACCGGGGCUUAACUUCGGGGUUGCAGUGGGUACGGGCAGACUAGAGUGUGGUAGGGGUAAUUGGAAUUCCUGGUGUAGCGGUGGAAUGCGCAGAUAUCAGGAGGAACACCGAUGGCGAAGGCAGGUUACUGGGCCACCACUGACGCUGAGGAGCGAAAGCGUGGGUAGCGAACAGGAUUAGAUACCCUGGUAGUCCACGCCGUAAACGUUGGGCACUAGGUGUGGGGCCUUUUCCACGGGUUCUGCGCCGUAGCUAACGCAUUAAGUGCCCCGCCUGGGGAGUACGGCCGCAAGGCUAAAACUCAAAGGAAUUGACGGGGGCCCGCACAAGCGGCGGAGCAUGCGGAUUAAUUCGAUGCAACGCGAAGAACCUUACCAAGGCUUGACAUACACUGCGAUGUGCCAGAGAUGGUGCAGCCUUCGGGGUGGUGUACAGGUGGUGCAUGGUUGUCGUCAGCUCGUGUCGUGAGAUGUUGGGUUAAGUCCCGCAACGAGCGCAACCCUUGUCCUGUGUUGCCAGCAAUUCGGUUGGGGACUCACGGGAGACUGCCGGGGUUAACUCGGAGGAAGGUGGGGAUGACGUCAAAUCAUCAUGCCCCUUAUGUCUUGGGCUUCACGCAUGCUACAAUGGCCGGUACAGAGGGUUGCGAGCCUGUGAGGGUGAGCUAAUCUCUUAAAGCUGGUCUCAGUU
This 1128-nucleotide ribosomal RNA is filed under the name Trueperella bernardiae. RNAcentral describes it as "bacterial SSU rRNA". It matches the Rfam family "Bacterial small subunit ribosomal RNA", at positions 154 to 1293 of the family's 1533-position model. The record is from RNAcentral. Lineage: Bacteria; Bacillati; Actinomycetota; Actinomycetes; Actinomycetales; Actinomycetaceae.